UUUUUUUUUUUUGUUGUUUAAUUGGAUUUGGAAAAUGUGGCUUCCAUCAUAUUUGAAACAUGUAUGAAAGAGAGAGCGGAAACGGGAGCUGAGAGAUGAUAGAAACUAUCAGGACUUACAGAAAAUUAUUUCAUAGAUAGAAGGCACUGGCAGGAUCAGCCUAGCAGUGAUUGAUUUUUAUUUUUUUUUAAUUAAUUAUAAGGUAUUGUGGGCCAGUUUUAUUUCCAAAUUCCAAUGCUACAUUUUUCCUUUUAUGCACCUUAAAAUUGAUUUAUUUUUUAUGACAUUCAUUUAGCAAAAAAAUGUUUUCUAUUACCAUUGACUUAAAAAAAAAAUCUUUCCGAAAGUCUUUACUGGCACCAUCUGUGUGAAAGCUGCAACUAUCUGAAAAUAACAUGUUUUGGUUUUAACCGAGUUUGUGCGUACUCACAGAGGAUCUAAAUUGGUCUGUGAAAUCUCCCGCACAUUUUUGUGUUUUAAUUAAAAUUUAGCUGAUGGGGUGACUCCUGUGACGUACCAGAGGAAAAAUAAGCACCUGCUCCUCUUGCCACAUGAAAUGUGGAUGCUAAUAUGAAAAUAUGUAGAUGUUAGGAAUACAAAUAAUUGAUGAAGUACACAUCCUUUGGGAGCAACACGGUUCAAGUGGCAAAUCUUUCUCCUCAAACAAUGGCCACCCUUCAGCAGAGAGGAAGCCAUCUCUAUGGUAAUGGGGCUGACGCUGCCCUAUUGAUCUAGUGGAAGAAGACAUUAUACAAUGUCAGUUGGGUUGUUACAAUUUCAUUUGUCGUCUGACCUGAACUUAACCUCUAAAAUCUUUCUUUUCGACCUACCAGCCAGGCAGGGUUGCUGUUUACCCUCGCAGGGUUUUCUCUGGGCCUCCCAGCAUCCCCAUACAGUAAAUCUCUCUCCUUUUUUUCCCCAUUGACUCUUUUUUGUUUAAGAGGCAUUUCCUGAGUUUAUUCCUCUGUAGGUCAGGACAAUUUCUUUGUUGCUUAAGGAAGGAGUUGCGGUUUCCUUCAAGGAUGGGUGGUGUUUGGGAUGUUACAGCAUGUGCGAGAUUAGGAUCAAAUUUAUUCCUUAAACAGAUUUCUUCUCUGGUAGGCGAUGGCUGGCAGGAUGCUCUGUAUAGGCACUGCUGUAGUCGAUAGAAAGCAAUCCCAGCAUCUUGUUUGUUUAUUCAUUGUAUUAUAUUAUAUUAGUAAUUUCAUUAUAUUAUUUUUUUUAAGCCUGGAUUGUGCUUCUUAAAACAAAGUUAUGUCUAACUGCAUUGAUGCAAAAAGCCCUUUUAUCAGUAAUCCAUACUAUCGCUGAACGAGCGGUUUACUCCUUUGAAUUAGUUCUCAAAUAUGGGGUUUUUGCCCCCCUCUGCACAGUCUUAAUAAAUUGCUUGUAAUUAUCGUAAAAUGGCAUUUAUAAAGAGUUUUCUCAGGCUGGUUGUAGCUGAGGCAAAUAAUUCAUCUUUGCUUUGAAAGAGGGGGGAGCUGGCUUAUGUUUUUAGCACACAGCAAGUGCGGCUAUAGGAUUGUUUCUUUAAACAACUAUUUAUUUGUUUUACUGUGGGAGGCAAAGCAUAGCAAGUUUACAAAGUAAACCAAUUAUCUUCUUAUAAUAUGAUUGCCAAGGUGUCAUUUUCUGCAAAGAUGAUGCAUUCUUUGCAUUCUCUGUUGCAAAGAGAGCUAGGAUGCUUUCCCCAGCUUUAAAUGUGUUGGUUUUUUUCUCAGUGUAUACCUUUCGUAGCUUGGCUGUUUUGCUGUAUCUAAAUAUACAAAGCUAAUUUAUUGCAAGGGCAAUAGUGGAGUAGGUGGUGUCAUUGCCCAUAUUUCUAGUAAGUUUUUGACAGCUUUAUUCUGGCCGAGUUGCACAUGGGUUUUUGAGAGGGAGGAAAUUGUUUCAUUAAAUUAAGCUGUUCAUAUCUCUUUGGUUGCUGUUCUGGGUAUCAUGUUGAGUUUUGGACUAAUAUAUAUAUUUAUAUAUGUAUACAUUCCCUUUCCCCCCAGACCUUCCAAGCAACACACUGUGAAUGUAUACGAAAAUUGGAGCCAACUCUUCUCCCAUCGCCAACAAAAGCAAGUGUUAGGCAUGUUGUAUAAUGAAAUAAUUAA
Molecule: long non-coding RNA, 2102 nt
Filed under: Strigops habroptila (Kakapo)
Lineage: Eukaryota; Metazoa; Chordata; Aves; Psittaciformes; Psittacidae
Description: lncRNA (ENSSHBG00005005046.1)
Source: RNAcentral